CUACGGGGGGCACCAGUGGGGAAUAUUGCACAAUGGGCGCAAGCCUGAUGCAGCCAUGCCGCGUGUAUGAAGAAGGCCUUCGGGUUGUAAAGUACUUUCAGCGGGGAGGAAGGGAGUAAAGUUAAUACCUUUGCUCAUUGACGUUACCCGCAGAAGAAGCACCGGCUAACUCCGUGCCAGCAGCCGCGGUAAUACGGAGGGUGCAAGCGGUAAUCGGAAUUACUGGGCGUAAAGCGCACGCAGGCGGUUUGUUAAGUCAGAUGUGAAAUCCCCGGGCUCAACCUGGGAACUGCAUCUGAUACUGGCAAGCAUGAGUCUCGUAGAGGGGGGUAGAAUUCCAGGUGUAGCGGUGAUAUGCGUAGAGAUCUGGAGGAAUACCGGUGGCGAAGGCGGCCCCCUGGACGAAGACUGACGCUCAGGUGCGAAAGCGUGGGGAGCAAACAGGAUUAGAUACCCCGGUAGUC
This 464-nucleotide ribosomal RNA is filed under the name uncultured bacterium. Its description in RNAcentral is "partial 16S ribosomal RNA". It matches the Rfam family "Bacterial small subunit ribosomal RNA", at positions 339 to 795 of the family's 1533-position model. The record is from RNAcentral.